This 443-nucleotide ribosomal RNA is filed under the name uncultured bacterium. RNAcentral's name for it is "bacterial SSU rRNA". It matches the Rfam family "Bacterial small subunit ribosomal RNA", at positions 958 to 1398 of the family's 1533-position model. The record is from RNAcentral.
AACGCGAAGAACCUUACCCGGGUUUGAAAUUCAAUGGAAGUCUGUAGAGAUACAGGCGUCCCGCAAGGGACUGUUGGACAGGUGCUGCAUGGCUGUCGUCAGCUCGUGCCGUGAGGUGUUGGGUUAAGUCCCGCAACGAGCGCAACCCUUAUUCUUAGUUGCCAUCGGGUAGAGCCGGGCACUCUGGGGAGACUGCCGCCAUAAGGCGGAGGAAGGUGGGGAUGACGUCAAGUCAGCAUGGCCCUUACAUCCGGGGCUACACACGUGCUACAAUGGCCGGUACAAAGGGCAGCGAUACCGCGAGGUGGAGCGAAUCCCAUGAAAGCCGGUCUCAGUUCGGAUUGCAGGCUGCAAUUCGCCUGCAUGAAGUCGGAAUCACUAGUAACCGCAGAUCAGCUACGCUGCGGUGAAUACGUUCCCGGGCCUUGUACACACCGUACGUC